This 502-nucleotide ribosomal RNA is filed under the name uncultured bacterium. RNAcentral's name for it is "bacterial SSU rRNA". It matches the Rfam family "Bacterial small subunit ribosomal RNA", at positions 8 to 507 of the family's 1533-position model. The record is from RNAcentral.
AGAGUUUGAUCAUGGCUCAGAUUGAACGCUGGCGGCAUGCCUUACACAUGCAAGUCGAACGGUAACGGGCCUUCGGGUGCCGACGAGUGGCGAACGGGUGAGUAAUGUAUCGGAACGUACCUUUCAGUGGGGGAUAACGUAGCGAAAGUUACGCUAAUACCGCAUAUUCUGUGAGCAGGAAAGCAGGGGAUCGCAAGACCUUGCGCUGAUUGAGCGGCCGAUAUCAGAUUAGCUAGUUGGUGAGGUAAAGGCUCACCAAGGCGACGAUCUGUAGCGGGUCUGAGAGGAUGGUCCGCCACACUGGAACUGAGACACGGUCCAGACUCCUACGGGAGGCAGCAGUGGGGAAUUUUGGACAAUGGGGGCAACCCUGAUCCAGCCAUGCCGCGUGAGUGAAGAAGGCCUUCGGGUUGUAAAGCUCUUUCGGCCGGGAAGAAAUCGUAUGGGUUAAUACCCUGUGCGGAUGACGGUACCGGCAUAAGAAGCACCGGCUAACUACGUG